RNAcentral lists this ribosomal RNA (48 nucleotides) under Fusarium solani. Its description in RNAcentral is "partial 28S ribosomal RNA". The record is from RNAcentral. RNAcentral also lists the same sequence under 2 other names. Lineage: Eukaryota; Fungi; Ascomycota; Sordariomycetes; Hypocreales; Nectriaceae.
GACCUCGAAUCAGGUAGGAAUACCCGCUGAACUUAAGCAUAUCAAUAA